GUGCUGGGAUUACAGGCGUUAGCCACCGCGCCUGGCCAGGUGCAUAAUGUUUUAAGGCACUAUGGUAGUUCAUGAAUUUUAACUAAGUGGAGGGAGGUAGUGGGAGAAUUGAGCCAGUUUACUCAUGGGGCAUGUGGACUCCGGGGCAAGCAGAGCUCAAAAGAACCUGGGCAAAAGCAAUCCUUUAAGUUAGAAGAAUGUAGGAAAUGAUUUGAGGGAGGAUGAGUUGAGCAAAUCCUGUCUUUGUACAACUUGUUCAUUAGCAGCAAGUGUAGUAGGAAACAAUGACAUUGUUUUACAUUUCUGAUUUGAGUAAUAAUUAGAUUAGGACACCAAUUCAAGCCAAAUUGCAUUAAUGACCACAAUGUCCACCUUAGUUUUACAGGAGUUAUUGGGUAACUGCAUAAAACCAGGCAUUCCAGGAUUGUUUGGAGGUGGUUUUGACCAAGUAUGAGGUCUACCUUGAGGUAGCAAAGAACUGAAGUUAUUAACACCAUUUUGUACAGAAUAAUUAUCUGAACAUUUUCUGCAUUCAUGUUAUUGACAAAAUCAAUAGACAAAAGUUGGUGUGCUCUCAUGUUUUGUUCUAAUAUGCAUUUAAUUAAUAAUGAUAUAUAAAAUGCUAUUUUUUCUUUGUUCCAAUGUUACUUUCUUGUGAAAAAAGACAUCCAAGACAAAAAUCUACUACUCACAUUAAGUUGUCCUUUGUCCUAGUUACCAUUACAUAUUCAGUUUUACAUAUUUUAACAAUAUUGUGGUUAGACUUUGGAUUUAUACAUUUCACUUAGCAUACUGUGAAUAUUUUCCAAUUUUGCAAAUCUGUUUGUUAUCUCCCUUUAUGCUCUUCUUAUACAUUCUUUGUUGACCACCAGCAUGACCACCAUCACCAGGCAAAUGUUGUUUGCCCAGGUAUGUAAGCCUGUACAUAUUUCUCCAUAAUCAUGUAAGCCUCUCCAAAGAUAUACAGACACAUGUACACCACAUAGAAAUAUAUAAAAUAUAUGUUAGAGAUUGUGAAUUUGUCAUUUGCUUUUACUAAAGUGAGAUCAUAAACUAUAUUUCUUAACCACUUUUUUUUUGCUUAAUUCAUCCGGACAGCCACCAGAUCAAUACACUACAGAUCCUACUUGUUUUAAAUAGUGACAUAGUUAUUCCUACUGUAGAGGUACAUGUUUAUUUACUUUUUCCCCAUUGAUGGUCAUUCAAGCUGUUUUCAUGUUUUUUGUCAUUACAAUGUCACAGUAAGUCUCAGAUUCGACCUUACAUUGUUAGGACUAGGAUCACUAGAUCAAAGGACUUUCUUGCAAAAAUGCCUGUUUGGGAUUCCUCAGAGUACAGACAAAAAGGAAGGCUUGAUCAGCAUGUGGUGGAUCUGAAGAUUCAAAGAGGUGCCACAGCUCAAAAGUAGACAUUUUGGCAAAUGUGAAGAAGUGAGAUUCAAUGAAGAUGAUAAGAAAUGAAAGGUGUUACCAAAAUUACACAAGUAUUUCUGUCAUUUUCCUACUAAAUUACAUGAAGGGGGUUGUCUGCUUAUGAGCUGCACCACCGAGCAGCAUGCCUAUCAGCGAGAAGGUGCCUGACAAUUCUCAGUUGAAAUGUCCUGACCAAGUUCCCCCAGAAAUUUAUGACUAAUAACAAAAGGGAAAAGCUACCCUCACAAGGAGAUGUCCAGUUGACACUAUCUCAACCAAAAUUAUUAAACAUAGCAUCAGCAAUCGUGGGACAAACAGACGCAAACAUCUCCUGGUGUGAGGCGAGGAAAGAAGACGACUUUACCAUGUGAACCCCUGUGGCUUCCUCAGAGACUGUCUGCUCUGGCACAUGCUCCUCCAGGUCUUCCAGGUCACCUAGGAAACAGAGUCGCUAUAAGCACAUGAGCUCCACUGAGUGAAUCCCUCAGGUGGUCUUGGAGCUGUGGACACGGGGCUGGCGUGUGUGGAAAGGUGUGUUCACAGCACAGACUCAGCUGCUGCCGGUCCAUCCUCCGUGGUGGAGAGGGAAGGCAAAUGGUGAAGGAAGGCACCAGGAAGGCCUCAGAAGACAGAGCCUUGGUCCUCUAGCUACGCCAACCUCUUCGACAUGAAAGAGCCCAUCUCAAACAGAGCACACCACACAGUGUUUCACUGCAGCAUCCAGGACUCCUCCUUCCUAAUAUGACCUGAGCUAACUUGCCCUCUUAUUGAUCCCUGCCAAAGUCAUUUCCUCCUCACAAUCCACUGAGGAGGAUGCUGAUGUGUUUACCAUCCCUUUUAGAGGAUUUUGUAUGGAAUAAGAAGCAACCAUUCUUAAAAUAGGAGAUUUAAUUCUAGCCAAAAGAUUUUAUUACUGACUUUCUGUUACAAGGCAAAUAAACCAAGAUUUGAAAAUAA
Homo sapiens (human) is the source of this 2369-nucleotide long non-coding RNA. RefSeq annotates it as FAM153A antisense RNA 1. The record is from RefSeq and is a predicted model, not a curated record. The transcript is spliced from 5 exons. Lineage: Eukaryota; Metazoa; Chordata; Mammalia; Primates; Hominidae.